Molecule: ribosomal RNA, 253 nt
Filed under: uncultured bacterium
Lineage: Bacteria
Description: partial 16S ribosomal RNA
Rfam family: Bacterial small subunit ribosomal RNA
Source: RNAcentral
UACGUAGGGUGCAAGCGUUGUCCGGAAUUAUUGGGCGUAAAGAGCUCGUAGGCGGUUUGUCACGUCUGCUGUGAAAACCCGAGGCUCAACCUCGGGCCUGCAGUGGGUACGGGCAGACUAGAGUGCGGUAGGGGAGAUUGGAAUUCCUGGUGUAGCGGUGGAAUGCGCAGAUAUCAGGAGGAACACCAAUGGCGAAGGCAGCUCUCUGGGACGGUACUGACGCUGAGACGCGAAAGCGUGGGUAGCGAACAGG